GCUCAACCGGGGAGGGUCAUUGGAAACUGGGGAACUUGAGUGCAGAAGAGGAGAGUGGAAUUCCACGUGUAGCGGUGAAAUGCGUAGAGAUGUGGAGGAACACCAGUGGCGAAGGCGACUCUCUGGUCUGUAACUGACGCUGAGGCGCGAAAGCGUGGGGAGCGAACAGGAUUAGAUACCCUGGUAGUCCACGCCGUAAACGAUGAGUGCUAAGUGUUAGAGGGUUUCCGCCCUUUAGUGCUGCAGCAAACGCAUUAAGCACUCCGCCUGGGGAGUACGGUCGCAAGACUGAAACUCAGAGGAAUUGACGGGGGCCCGCACAAGCGGUGGAGCAUGUGGUUUAAUUCGAAGCAACGCGAAGAACCUUACCAGGUCUUGACAUCCUCUGACAACCCUAGAGAUAGGGCUUCCCCUUCGGGGGCAGAGUGACAGGUGGUGCAUGGUUGUCGUCAGCUCGUGUCGUGAGAUGUUGGGUUAAGUCCCGCAACGAGCGCAACCCUUGAUCUUAGUUGCCAGCAUUCAGUUGGGCACUCUAAGGUGACUGCCGGUGACAAACCGGAGGAAGGUGGGGAUGACGUCAAAUCAUCAUGCCCCUUAUGACCUGGGCUACACACGUGCUACAAUGGGCAGAACAAAG
RNAcentral lists this ribosomal RNA (637 nucleotides) under uncultured bacterium. RNAcentral's name for it is "bacterial SSU rRNA". It matches the Rfam family "Bacterial small subunit ribosomal RNA", at positions 607 to 1244 of the family's 1533-position model. The record is from RNAcentral.